Molecule: long non-coding RNA, 786 nt
Organism: Spinacia oleracea (spinach)
Lineage: Eukaryota; Viridiplantae; Streptophyta; Magnoliopsida; Caryophyllales; Amaranthaceae
Exons: 6
Source: RefSeq, a predicted model, not a curated record
UUCAAACCCUAAAAAUUCAUCAUCUCCCACACGGGUUAGAGCUACGAUUAACCCCAUAAUUUUGUAUGAAUUGUGUACUCAAUUUCCCUUCCUUGUGCUACUUGAAUUUCGGAGGUUUAUUUUCCCUUUUUCACGAAGAGUGGAGGUUUGAACGAAGAUUGGAGGUUUAAAAUUGAAGGUGUCUAAUCAGGAGGAAGACAUGCCGAACAUGGGUAUUCAUGGUAUUCUGUUCUGUUAGGCAAAGCCUAACCUUAGGCCCUUGUUCCAUACUCCCUUGGCCGUGAUGUCAAACAGAGAGAAAAUCACUUUCCAGUACUUCAAGAAGCUGUUUGCUCAAGUUACAAACCCUCCCAUUGAUCCUAUCAGGGAGAAAAUUGUGUCAUCCAUAGAGUGCAUGAUUGGUCCUGGAGGUGAUCUCACAGAAAUGAGUGAGGAGCAGUGUCAUCGUCUCUCACUGAUGGGGCCUAUUUUAUCCAUUAAAAAGAUUGAAUUAAGAGGUUGGCGUAUCAACGUAAUUCAUAUCACUUAUCCCAAGACCCUGGGCAGGAAAGGCUUGGAGCAAACGUUGGACAGGAUCUGUGCUGAAGCUAGGGAUACAAUAAAGGUUACACAGUUUUGGUGCUUUUUGACAACUUUCGCGCCAAGUGUAGUUGCAGUGAGCUCUCUAUUGCGUGUACGACGAAGAACCCUUUGAUAAUAUCAUCAUAUCACAUUGUCUGGUUCUCCAAUGUGUGCUUCUGAUAUAGUGAUGAUGCUAUUGCUGCACUCCUUGAAAGUUCUGGAGAA